Molecule: ribosomal RNA, 254 nt
Filed under: uncultured bacterium
Lineage: Bacteria
Description: partial 16S ribosomal RNA
Rfam family: Bacterial small subunit ribosomal RNA
Source: RNAcentral
UACGGAGGGAGCUAGCGUUAUUCGGAAUUACUGGGCGUAAAGCGCACGUAGGCGGCUUUGUAAGUAAGAGGUGAAAGCCCAGAGCUCAACUCUGGAAUUGCCUUUUAGACUGCAUCGCUUGAAUCAUGGAGAGGUCAGUGGAAUUCCGAGUGUAGAGGUGAAAUUCGUAGAUAUUCGGAAGAACACCAGUGGCGAAGGCGGCUCACUGGCCCGGUACUGACGCUGAGGUGCGAAAGCGUGGGGAGCAAACAGGG